GCGCCUGUGAUGGGUCCGGCGUAAGACAACUAAGAGUUUCGCAGGCAACCGUCUUACGUACGAUCCCGUACAUUCAGGGAAUUUCCCUGAAUUUAACUAUUUCU
Molecule: small RNA, 104 nt
Filed under: uncultured Acetatifactor sp.
Lineage: Bacteria; Bacillati; Bacillota; Clostridia; Lachnospirales; Lachnospiraceae
Description: RT-5 RNA
Rfam family: RT-5 RNA
About the family: Clostridium (Firmicutes). Environment (Cow rumen (57))
Source: RNAcentral